RNAcentral lists this ribosomal RNA (247 nucleotides) under uncultured Lactobacillus sp. Its description in RNAcentral is "partial 16S ribosomal RNA". It matches the Rfam family "Bacterial small subunit ribosomal RNA", at positions 116 to 354 of the family's 1533-position model. Lineage: Bacteria; Bacillati; Bacillota; Bacilli; Lactobacillales; Lactobacillaceae. The record is from RNAcentral.
CGUGGGUAACCUGCCCAAGAGAUCGGGAUAACACCUGGAAACAGAUGCUAAUACCGGAUAACAACAGAUGAUGCCUAUCAACUGUUUAAAAGAUGGUUCUGCUAUCACUCUUGGAUGGACCUGCGGUGCAUUAGCUAGUUGGUAGGGUAACGGCCUACCAAGGCGAUGAUGCAUAGCCGAGUUGAGAGACUGAUCGGCCACAUUGGGACUGAGACACGGCCCAAACUCCUACGGGAGGCAGCAGGAC